Megalobrama amblycephala (Wuchang bream) is the source of this 1604-nucleotide long non-coding RNA. RefSeq lists it as uncharacterized. Lineage: Eukaryota; Metazoa; Chordata; Actinopteri; Cypriniformes; Xenocyprididae. The record is from RefSeq and is a predicted model, not a curated record. The transcript is spliced from 4 exons.
AUCACAGGAGAGUUACGAAUGCGAUGGCGUACUGUUGUGUACCAGGUUGUACAUCAUAUCAACGGAAAGAAAGUGAUAAAAAUAUAUGUCCUUUCCUAUCCUAUCCUAUCAAAAAAAUAUGUUUUUUCAUCGCUUUCCGAGUGACCCAAAAGCCUGUCGUGAGUGGAUUGUUAAAGUAAAACGGGAUAUUGGACCUCAUUUUCAGAUUACAGACAACACGAGAGUGUGCUCCAAACAUUUCACUCAGGACUGCAUUGUUCGUUCGCUCACGGGGUUGCAUAGACUGAAACGGGGAAGCGUGCCGACUUUGUUUACAUGGUGCUGUGAACUCAAGCCUCGGAGGUGUCUGUGAUACUGAAACACUCGAGGAAGAAGAAGACCACGAUUCGUUUCCUGACCAGAACACAAGAGAAGAAUCUAACAAUUGUUUUGGGGAAUUGCAAGACCAUGAUUACCUGGAAACGUCUCCUACCAUGGAAGAGCAGCUGACUGCAGCACAGAAGGAAGUUGCUCUUCUGACAGAGGAAAAUGAAAAUUUAAGAAGUCAGCAGUUUUGUCUACAGCGAUUCCAAUGUGAGCCCAAGAUGAUCGUGUUUUACACAGGAUUUAAUGAUUAUGAGACCCUCAAAGCACUCUACCUGUCUCUUCAACCUACAGCACAGUCUCUGGUGAGAUGGAGUCAAAUGAAAAGACUUAAUAAAACAGAACAGACUGUAACAGCUGGCUUUCAUGCUCACAACAUUUGUCUCUUUGACCAGUUUUUCUCGUUUCUCUGCCGUGUGAGGCAGGGGCUUCUUUCCGCAGAUUUAGCUGUAAGGUUUAAUCUGUCAAAGGCCACAGUCAGUCGGAUAUGUAUAACUUGGGCUAACUAUCUUUAUUUUAUGCUUGGCACACUACCAGUAUGGCCAAGUAGAGAGGCUGUAGAUGAGCUAAUGCUAAUUUCCCAAAACACGUGUUGUGCUAGAUUGUACAGAGAUCCAUAUUCAAACAGCAAGCUCAAAUGUUUUUAACACGGUGACAUACUCUCAUUACAAAGGCACCACAACUUUGAAAUCCCUGAUUGGCAUCACCCCCUUUGGGUCAGUUAGCUUUGUAAGCAACCUAUACACCGGCUCCAUCUCUGACAAGGAAAUCACCAAAGAGUCAGGCAUUCUAAAACUCCUUGAGCCAGGUGAUGAAGUAAUGGCGGAUAAGGGCUCUCUUAUCAGAGACCUCCCUGCUGACAGAGAUUUCAGUCUUGUAACCCCAACUUUCACAGGGUCAAGCGGACAAUUCAGUAAAGAUGAAAUUGCACACACCCAAGAGAUUGCCCGCUUGAGGAUACAUGUAGAGAGGGCUAUCAGACGCAUCAAAGAAUAUCACAUUUUUGAUGGUGUCCUACCCCUUUAACUAUGUGGUUCAGUCAACCAGAUGUGGACUGUUUGUGCUCUACUGACACAUUUCCAAGGACCUCUAUUUUAAAGGAAAGUUUCACCCCAAAAAAAAAUUUGCUGAAAAUGUACUCACCCUCAGGCAAUCCAAGAUGUAGAUUAGCUUAUUUCUUAUGCCAAAACGGGCUGUUAAAGGAUUAGUUCACUUUCAAAUAAAAUGUUCCUGAUAAUUUA